Long non-coding RNA from Diceros bicornis minor, 3062 nucleotides. RefSeq lists it as uncharacterized. The transcript is spliced from 3 exons. The record is from RefSeq and is a predicted model, not a curated record. Lineage: Eukaryota; Metazoa; Chordata; Mammalia; Perissodactyla; Rhinocerotidae.
GCCUGGCUGGGGCGGAGGGAAUGGAGGAGACUCCGCGGGCCGGCCUGACCUUCCUGGUGGCUGUUCCUGGGGGCUCUGCCCCCCACUUCUCCCCCGGCGGGCUCACCAGCUCUUGGUUCAGUUACGCUAAGUUCUCCACCUGCGAAUCCUCUGGCACCUCACCCCAACACUUGCCCAAGACAGAACCCCACAUCACUCCCCCAGACCUGGCCUCCUGUGUCCCUGUUUCAAUCUGGAGCCAGAAACCUGGGAGUCGCCGUAGCCUACCCCUUUCCUGUCCCAACCAGUUGAUCGCCAAGCCCUGCUGCCUCUUAAAUCUCUCUGGAGUCCAUCCACUUCUCUUCACCUCUCUGGCCCUCCUGUAACCCAGGCCGCCAGCAUCUUGUACCUGGAUGGCUGCAGCAGCCUCUUUCUUGGCCUCCCACCCCCGUCCAGUCUCACCCCUCCCACUAGCGUUUCUCCCCCCCGGCAGCCAGAGCACUCUUUCAGAAACACAAGUCCAACUGGUCAGCUCCUGCUUACGAAUCUUCCAUGGCUCACCAGUACCCUGAGAAUAUGUCCAAUCAAGCCCUCCAUGACCUCAGUCCUAACCACCCGCCUGUCUAAUCCUUUCAGGGCUUGGUUCAAUGUGCCUCUGCCAGAAACCCUUCCCCAUGACCUCCUCCCUGGCCAGCGUGGAUUAGCUGCACCUUCCUGGUACUCAGCAUCUGUUUACCUGCCUGUUCCCCCUCUGGACCAGGAGCUCCUUGAGGGCGGAGACUGUGCCUGAUUCAUCCAGCACACAGCCUGACACAUCGUGUAGGCGCUCAACAGAUGUUUGUUGAAUGAAUAAUUAAUUGGAUAAGGCAAUUGGGGGGUUGGAUGUGUGGGGCCAGAGUUCGGGAAAGAGGUUUGAGCCAGUGAGGCAGUUUUGGAAGUUGUCAGAAAGGACCCGUAGUUGUAAGCAGAGCCAUGGGAAAGGGUGAGAUACCUCAGAGCAAAUACAGCAGCGGCCAAGGACAGAACACUCGCUUUUAAGGGGGAAAGAUUUCUGUACCGGGUAGGAUCAGUUUUGACGUAGGUAACAGAAAUCCCACAUAAGAGCCUCAGGGAAGACAGUCCUGGACUGAUAUGUCAGCUCUGCUCCACUAAGACCUCCCCAAUGUGGCUCCUUCCACUCACUGCUCCAGCCACCUCCGGGUAUGACUCUUGUCCUCAUGGUUCAGGGUGGUGGCUAGAGCUCCAGCUAUCACAUAUGCAUUCCAGGCAGUGGGAUGGGGACACGGAUGAAGAAGAGGGGAAAGGAUCCACACUAUCUCUCUUUUAAAGAAAGCUCCCAGAAGGUGUCACAUGACACUUCCACAUACAUCCCAUUAGCUAAAACUUAGUCAUGUGACCAGCCUCAGCUGCGAGAGGAGGCUGGGAAUGCAGCUUCCAUUUUAGGCAGCCACAUACCCAGCUAAGAACCAAGGGCUGUAUCACUGUAGAGAGAAUAGAUAUCCGAGGACAACUAGCUGACUCUACCAUUGAAAGAGAGGAUAGACGGAAGGGCGGGCACUACUGUGUGCCAGGCUCUGUAUUAGGCACUUUACAUAUCUUAUCUUCCCUCAACCUGAGUGGAGGCUAUUAUUAUCCCUGACUCACAGAGGGGGCUUGGAGAGUUAAGCAACUUGCCCAAGGACAUGCAGUGACCCUUGGCGGAGCUGCAAUUGAAAACUGUCUUUUCCCUGCACACCAGGCUGGCUGGAAAAUCAGGAGAGGGUGGGUCCUAGGAACUACUGGAAGGAAAUCUUUCAACAAAGGAGGGCUUGGUCCACAGUGUCGGAGGCUGACAGGCCAACCAGGAUAUGGGCUGAAGUGUCUGCUUGGAUUUGGCAACAAGGACACUGCCGGAGGGAAGGCGGCAGGAGGUGCGAAAGCAGCAACACCCUGUCCUGAGUCUCUCUUCUCCAACAGCCCUUCAUGGAAGAAGCCUCAUGUUAGAGUGGCCGAGAGUGUGGCCUCUGGGGUCACAGAGGCCGAGCUUCAGGUACCAGCACUGCAACUCACCAGCUGUGCGGCUUCAGGCUAAAGACGAAACCUCUCUGAGCCCUGGCUUUCUCGUAAAAUGGAGGUGAUGGCACCUACCUCAAAGAGGCUGCUCGAUCAACAAAUAUAAGCAGGGCCACACCACGCACUGAGCUCUGGGCUGAGCCCCAGCAAGAAGAAGUCUAGGUGUUUGUUUGGGGGACAUUCCCAUGAGUUCUCCCUGAGGAAAUUAGCACAGUGCCUGGCAUGCACAUAAUAAUAAAUAAUCCUCCUGUUGUCACUGUCUCUGGUCCUCCUUCACUAUAUCCUCUUUAAAUGUCCGUCUGCCCUCCUGGCUUCCCUUCUCGGCCCAGGCAGAACCUCGUGUGAGCUGUCACAGACACACUAGGUCCCACGGAUUUCUGUCUCCACUUCCGCACUCUCCUCCGAGAUUCAAUUCCAUACGUUCACUCAGUCAUUCAACAAAUCUUUAUCGAACCCCUGUUAUGUGCCAAAAAUUGUUCUAGUCACUAAAAAUAUAGAGAUGAACAAAACGAACCAAUACUCUGCACUCAAAGAACUUAUAUAAAUGUCUACAUCUCCCACAGCUUGGUGACACACAUUCCUUCCCAGUGCCCCGGCCCCCCGCCCCAGACAUCUCACAGGUCCCUCAAAUUCAACUCGACCCUUUGGAAAACAGUCUGGCAGUGACUCAAAAAGUUAAACAUGGGAUUACCACAUGACCCAGCAAUUCCACUCCAAGGGAUAUACCCAAGAGAACUGAAAACAUACAUCCACACAAAUACUUGUACACAAAUGUUCACAGCAAUAUUAUUCAUGAGAGGCAAAAAGUGGAAACAACCCAGAUAUCCAUCAACUUAUGAAUGGAUAAACAAAAUGUGGCAUUUCCACACAACAGAAUAUUAUUCAGUCAUAAAAGGAAUGGAGUACUGGUACCUUCUACAACAUGAAAGAAGCCAGACGCAAGGGCCACAUAUUGCAAGAUUUUAUUUACAUGAAAAGUCCAGAACAGGCAAAGUAGGAUGUGGAUAGGGGGAAUGGGGAGUGAUUGCUAA